This is a long non-coding RNA of Molossus molossus (Pallas's mastiff bat), 319 nucleotides long. RefSeq lists it as uncharacterized. The record is from RefSeq and is a predicted model, not a curated record. Lineage: Eukaryota; Metazoa; Chordata; Mammalia; Chiroptera; Molossidae. The transcript is spliced from 3 exons.
GUCCCGCCUCCCCCACCCCCUUCCCCGAAAUGGUCCUGAGCAGGAACGGGAGAGACGGCCCGGGAAAGGGAGAGUGCCACAGGCCGUGGAGACCGUGCCAUCCUAAGCAAUCCCUUUCCCCUCUAGUUCCCAUCUGUCACCUUGGGAGUGAAGGGGCAGCUCGAAGAGAUGAUGAAACUGAGGCCAAGCAGAGAGGAGAGACUUGCUCCUAGAGCACUAGUUGGUGGCAGAGUUGACUCUCUGGAAGACCUAUGGAGGAAAGGUCUGGAGAGACAGAGGAAGAAAGAGAUAGAAACAUGGAUGAGAGACAAACAUCGAU